GAGUUUGAUCAUGGCUCAGAUUGAACGCUGGCGGCAUGCCUUACACAUGCAAGUCGAACGGCAGCACGGGAGCUUGCUCCCGGUGGCGAGUGGCGAACGGGUGAGUAAUGCAUCGGAACGUAUCCUGGAGUGGGGGAUAACGUAGCGAAAGUUACGCUAAUACCGCAUAUUCUGUGAGCAGGAAAGCGGGGGACCUUCGGGCCUCGCGCUCUUGGAGCGGCCGAUGUCGGAUUAGCUAGUUGGUGAGGUAAAGGCUCACCAAGGCGACGAUCCGUAGCAGGUCUGAGAGGAUGAUCUGCCACACUGGAACUGAGACACGGUCCAGACUCCUACGGGAGGCAGCAGUGGGGAAUUUUGGACAAUGGGGGCAACCCUGAUCCAGCCAUGCCGCGUGAGUGAAGAAGGCCUCGGUUGUAAG
This 418-nucleotide ribosomal RNA is filed under the name bacterium enrichment culture clone ALO1_GLFRUDD03GYPJS. Its description in RNAcentral is "bacterial SSU rRNA". It matches the Rfam family "Bacterial small subunit ribosomal RNA", at positions 9 to 429 of the family's 1533-position model. The record is from RNAcentral.